CAGACUCCACGGUCUUCAUGGCUUCGAACCUUGGCUCCUUGGCUUGGAACUUGAGGUCAGCAUAGAGAUUCAUGUAGUCCUCAAACACAAAUUUGGGGUACACUUGAGAUUUGUCAGCUUCUUUCUCUAGCAAAGCUGGUGCUGGAUAUAUAACAGCAUCACUGCCCGGGUUGUAGAAGGAAGCAAUGGACAUUCUGGUCCCAUCUGUUUGAGCAAUCACACGGUGCAUCACACUCUUAUAUUUACCAUUUGUGAUUA
This 258-nucleotide long non-coding RNA is filed under the name Gossypium barbadense (sea-island cotton). RNAcentral's name for it is "long non-coding RNA (GBAR_LNC016120)". The record is from RNAcentral. Lineage: Eukaryota; Viridiplantae; Streptophyta; Magnoliopsida; Malvales; Malvaceae.